CUUUGCACUGGAGAAAUGAUCUCAUUAACAAACUAGUUCUGUGCGUCCUUAACACAGGCCCCUUGCCUGCAGCUGGAGCCAGCUCUCUGUUCAGCCCCAGUGCAGAGUGACACAGACAAGCGACAGCGUCGCUGAGCGCUAACUUCUAUUCCACCGAGGCAGACAGCGAAAACCAUUUCAGAACCAUGGCAAGGCAUGAGAGAAGCACAGGUAUUUUUGUUUCAAUGAAGAAGUUUAAGAAGAAUAUAAAGGCUGAAGACUAAUGAUAUGCUAUUCUUUGUACAUGAAAAUGGCAGUCCUGACCUGCCAUAAGUCUGGGCACUUAUGGCUGUGAUAGAUUUUUCUGGGUCCGUCUGCCUUUCCUUCCAGGCACCCCAGGCUUCUCAGGACAAACAGCGUAAUCAGUGACCUCAGAACAGAGCAACGCUAAUGAGGAUGACCCUGACCCCAGGAGAAGAGUGUUCUGACCCUCUGACCCAAAUAAAAAUAGAAAAGCUUGGGCAGUACAUUUAAGAGUAACUUUGGGAUUAAUUAUAUGAGUAUAAAGAUAAAUGAGAAAAUAAAUUCUACUCACAAGUAGGAAGACUUAGAUAAUUGUGUAAUAUUUGAAACAUAAAACUUAAACUGAAAACUAUUACACUGGUAAAUUGAAUUACAUUAUCAUUCCUUUUAACUAACAUCAGAAUUACCUUUCCUUUAAUGUUUCCUUAGUUAAUAAGAACCAAAUCUUAUUAUAAUAAUUAAAGCUACUAGAAAAUGC
Molecule: long non-coding RNA, 760 nt
Organism: Callithrix jacchus (white-tufted-ear marmoset)
Lineage: Eukaryota; Metazoa; Chordata; Mammalia; Primates; Cebidae
Source: RefSeq, a predicted model, not a curated record